UUUGCCACUCAUACGGAUGC
Molecule: microRNA, 20 nt
Filed under: Tetranychus urticae (two-spotted spider mite)
Lineage: Eukaryota; Metazoa; Arthropoda; Arachnida; Trombidiformes; Tetranychidae
Description: miRNA tetur02g15095
Source: RNAcentral